Stylophora pistillata is the source of this 792-nucleotide long non-coding RNA. RefSeq lists it as uncharacterized. NCBI's taxonomy places the organism in Eukaryota, Metazoa, Cnidaria, Anthozoa, Scleractinia, Pocilloporidae. The record is from RefSeq and is a predicted model, not a curated record.
AGCAUGUUGUCUGCGUAGAUCUGCGUGAAUGAGCCGAAUGAGUCAACGGUUUAACUAAUUGCUGCAGUAACUCGGUCAUUUGUCCACGAAGACCUAUUACCAUUUUAUAAAUGAUCAUUCGUGUGGCUCGUUUGUUGUGAUAGAGGCAAGCCUUGCCUAAGUAAUUGAUUUGGCUCGUGCUUACAAAGGCGACUGGGUAUUUGCUCCUUUUGGUUUUAUCUGCCUUCAUAGCCCUUGAGGGAUUUGCUUUCAACCUGAAACGUCACGCGCAAUGCAAAGACGACCAACCUCGACAGGAUCUGUUCCUGUGGGUAAAUGAAAAUUAAUCACUGUAGACAUUUCUGUCAGCUAAAUGUAAAAAUCCUCCAGCUACUUCUAGCCCAUUUGUGUUUGUAUUUUGGAAAGAUGCCAGUAUUUUGAUAAAUUCUAACUCUAAAUUAAGUUAAUUUUGCCACAAAGUGCCUCGUUUUUUCCUUGAUUGGCACUUUUUAACUUUGGUUCCUCUCGCCUUGUUAGUUUUAUGGUUAAUGAUGCGUGCUUCAAUUUGGAGUAACCUUCGUUAUUUCGCAUUUGAAAAAGCACAUAGUCAACAUUUUACUCUCCUAUUUAAUUUUCUAUCCAAAGCAGAACCUUAGGAAAUUGAUCAUUACUUAAGUUGAUUUUCUUCAUCGAUGCGAAUCCUCUUUUCUCAUUUAAAAUUUUCUUGCCCGACUCAUUAGUUGAUGGGGCAUCAAUGCAUGGAAUCCGCCGAUCUUGCAUUAAGAAUGAUUGUUGUAAACGUUAAGGAGUAAG